RNAcentral lists this ribosomal RNA (377 nucleotides) under Grania maricola. RNAcentral's name for it is "partial 12S ribosomal RNA". The record is from RNAcentral. Lineage: Eukaryota; Metazoa; Annelida; Clitellata; Enchytraeida; Enchytraeidae.
UAAAGACCUAACAAUAUGCCGGUUAAUACAAUCUACUGAUUAAAAUCCAAAGAAUUUGGCGGUAUCUUAAAUAAUCAGGGGAACCUGUGCCUUAAAUUGAUAAUCCACGCAAUUCAAUCUUCAUCUCGAAUUUCAGCCUGUGUACUGCUGUCGCCAGUAAACCUCUAAAAGACAGUUUACAACUAUACCCAAAUAAAUACGUCAAGUCAAAGUGCAGCCUAUGAUGCUAGAGAGCCAUGGGUUACAAUUUACAUACAACUACGGAUUAUUAAAAUAAAAAUAAUAUGAAAUUGAACUUGACAGUAAUAUUUAUAAGACACUAAUAUAAACAAGAACCUAAGAUAUGCACACAUCGCCCGUCACUCUCAUCCAAUGUG